CCUACGGGUGGCAGCAGUGAGGAAUAUUGGUCAAUGGGCGCGAGCCUGAACCAGCCAAGUCGCGUGAGGGAGGACGGCCCUACGGGUUGUAAACCUCUUUUAUAAAGGAAUAAAGUGAGGCACGUGUGCCUUUUUGUAUGUACCAUAUGAAUAAGGAUCGGCUAACUCCGUGCCAGCAGCCGCGGUAAUACGGAGGAUCCGAGCGUUAUCCGGAUUUAUUGGGUUUAAAGGGAGCGUAGGUGGAUUGUUAAGUCAGUUGUGAAAGUUUGCGGCGCAACCGUAAAAUUGCAGUUGAAACUGGCAGUCUUGAGUACAGUAGAGGUGGGCGGAAGUCGGGGUGUAGCGGUGAAAUGCUUAGAUAUCACGAAGAACUCCGAUUGCGAAGGCAGCUCACUGGACUGCAACUGACACUGAGGCUCGAAAGUGUGGGUAUCAAACAGGAGUAGAUACCCGGGUAGUC
Molecule: ribosomal RNA, 460 nt
Filed under: uncultured bacterium
Lineage: Bacteria
Description: partial 16S ribosomal RNA
Rfam family: Bacterial small subunit ribosomal RNA
Source: RNAcentral